GGUAAUAUAGCUUAGUGGCACAGCGCCUGCCUGGCAAGCGCAAGAUCCUGAGUUCAAUUCCCAGUACCA
This 69-nucleotide transfer RNA is filed under the name Cavia porcellus (domestic guinea pig). It matches the Rfam family "tRNA". Rfam says of the family: Transfer RNA (tRNA) molecules are approximately 80 nucleotides in length. Lineage: Eukaryota; Metazoa; Chordata; Mammalia; Rodentia; Caviidae. The record is from Rfam by way of RNAcentral.